GUUUAAUUUGGGCACUUACUUUCACUUCGCCAUUGCGGAGUCCGCUUUCUGACGGGAAAAAACAAACCAAUCAAACACUGGAGAGAAGGGGGAGGUGCCGUAAGUUCCGUUGCUGUCGUAAAACCCUUAAAGCUUGAAGAUGGCAGAACAACCAGAGCAGUCAGAAGGGACCAUCUUUCUCCUCCAGCGGCGGCGACGAAAGGUGUCGGAGCAGCGCUCCUUACUGUGAAACUUUGAACCAAACAGGGACGAGUAUUCCCAGCCUUCUUCGGAAUUUUGCCUCUGCAGAAGAAACAAAUGAGUGAAGAUAUUCCAAAUCUGCUCUCCUUUUUUUUAAUUUACUCUUUCCUAUACCUUAGCGACAAUCCUUUUCUCCGGUAUUUUCCUCCUUGAUCUGAUAAGUCUCUUCCUGCGGUGGACAUGGAACAUCUUCUCUGCUGCAACCCAGGAACCAGGUUUCUCAUUAGGGGGUCUGUUGCUGUCAAAACUCCAGUCGCCCUCCCAGGUCCAUCCAGGAGGACACUCGAACUCUUCAGGGCUCUGAAGCUGUUCCCCAUUCUAUGCAGCACACAGAUUACCAUCAUUCACAUAGAGUAUUUUCCCCACUUAGCAGUAAAGAAAUAAAACUUGUACAACAAGUAAGCUAUUUUUAUCUAUUAAUACAAGUGACAAGUGCCUUGAUUUUUACUUUAAAGUUGCCUCAUUUUCUGUGGAAAAAAUCCAACCUCCGCCUUCUUUUUUUAAGUUUUCAUUAUGGAACUGAUUUAGGACGUCAACUUAUAACUCAGACAUAAUAUAGAGUUUAUUAAAAGAUCCAAAAACUCA
Long non-coding RNA from Oryzias melastigma (Indian medaka), 825 nucleotides. RefSeq lists it as uncharacterized. Lineage: Eukaryota; Metazoa; Chordata; Actinopteri; Beloniformes; Adrianichthyidae. The transcript is spliced from 3 exons. The record is from RefSeq and is a predicted model, not a curated record.